AUGGGUAUUGUGAAACUAAAUGUUGAUGUUUCCUUUGAUCACGAUCUGCUUAGGAUCACGGCAGGGGCUGUCCUCAGAGAUGACAAAGGAAGGUUCAUUGUUGGCGGAAAUUGGAGGAUUGAUUGGUGUGUUGAUGUAUUAACAGCAGAAGCACUAGCUCUAAGGUUUGGCUUAAUCCUUGCAGAGAAGGCUGGUUGCAAUCGCCUUAUUGUCAACUUUGAUAAUAUGGAAGUGAUCGACACAAUGAAAAAUGGAGGACAAUCAGCGGGUGCGGUAGCGGCAGUGUUCGACGAUUGCUAUUUUAUGGCAUGUGAUUUUUCUGUUACUAUGUUUGAACAUUGUAAUAGGGAAGCAAAUAAGGUUGCUCAUGAACUUGCUAGACUAGCAAAAUUUUCAAAGACUAGGGAUUGAUGUGAGGAGCCUAUGGAGGAUAUUGUAUCUUUCCUUAUUGAUGUUGUAACUCUUAUUUCCAAUUAA
Molecule: ribosomal RNA, 477 nt
Filed under: Triticum aestivum (bread wheat)
Lineage: Eukaryota; Viridiplantae; Streptophyta; Magnoliopsida; Poales; Poaceae
Description: partial small subunit ribosomal RNA
Source: RNAcentral